This 291-nucleotide ribosomal RNA is filed under the name uncultured bacterium. RNAcentral's name for it is "partial 16S ribosomal RNA". It matches the Rfam family "Archaeal small subunit ribosomal RNA", at positions 455 to 747 of the family's 1478-position model. The record is from RNAcentral.
GUGCCAGCCCGCGGUAAUACCGGCAGCCCGAGUGAUGGCCGAUCUUAUUGGGCCUAAAGCGUCCGUAGCUGGCCGCGCAAGUCCGUCGGGAAAUCCAUCAGCCCAACUGAUGGGCGUCCGGCGGAAGCUGUGUGGCUUGGAACCGGAAGGCUCAGAGGGUACGUCCGGGGUAGGAGUGAAAUCCCGUAAUCCCGGACGGACUACCGAUGGCGAAAGCACUCUGAGAAGACGGCCUCGACAGUGAGGGACGAAAGCUCGGGUCUCAAACCGGAUUAGAAACCCGUGUAGUCC